AGUGAACGCUGGCGGUAGGCCUAACACAUGCAAGUCGAACGGCAGCACAGUAAGAUCUUGCUCUUACGGGUGGCGAGUGGCGGACGGGUGAGGAAUACAUCGGAAUCUACUUUUUCGUGGGGGAUAACGUAGGGAAACUUACGCUAAUACCGCAUACGACCUACGGGUGAAAUCAGGGGAUCUUCGGACCUUGCGCGAUUGAAUGAGCCGAUGUCGGAUUAGCUAGUUGGCGGGGUAAAGGCCCACCAAGGCGACGAUGCGUAGCUGGUCUGAGAGGAUGAUCAGCCACACUGGAACUGAGACACGGUCCAGACUCCUACGGGAGGCAGCAGUAGGGAAUAUUGGACAAAGGGCGAAAGCCUGAUCCAGCCAUACCGCGUGAGUGAAGAAGGCCUUCGGGUUGUAAAGCCCUUUUGUUGGGAAAGAAAAGCAGCAGGUUAAUACCCCGCUGUUCUGACGGUACCCAAAGAAUAAGCACCGGCUAACUUCGUG
RNAcentral lists this ribosomal RNA (492 nucleotides) under uncultured bacterium. RNAcentral describes it as "partial 16S ribosomal RNA". It matches the Rfam family "Bacterial small subunit ribosomal RNA", at positions 29 to 507 of the family's 1533-position model. The record is from RNAcentral.